CCUACGGGAGGCAGCAGUGAGGAAUAUUGGUCAAUGGGCGAGAGUCUGAACCAGCCAAGUAGCGUGAGGGAUGACUGCCCUAUGUGUUGUAAACUUCUUUUAUAAGGGAAUAAAGUGUUCGACGUGUGGGCGUGUGUGUGUACCAUAUGAAUAAGGAUCGGCUAACUCCGUGCCAGCAGCCGCGGUAAUACGGAGGAUGCGAGCGUUAUCCGGAUUUAUUGGGUUUAAAGGGUGCGUAGGCGGACCGUUAAGUCAGUGGUAAAAUUGAGGGGCUCAACCCCUUCCAGCCAUUGAAACUGGCGGUCUCGAGUGGAAGAGAAGUACGCGGAAUGCGUGGUGUAGCGGUGAAAUGCUUAGAUAUCACGCAGAACCCCGAUUGCGAAGGCAGCAUGCCGGCUCCCGACUGACGCUGAGGCACGAAAGCGUGGGUAUCGAACAGGAUUAGAUACCCGAGUAGUC
RNAcentral lists this ribosomal RNA (459 nucleotides) under uncultured bacterium. RNAcentral's name for it is "partial 16S ribosomal RNA". It matches the Rfam family "Bacterial small subunit ribosomal RNA", at positions 338 to 795 of the family's 1533-position model. The record is from RNAcentral.